RNAcentral lists this ribosomal RNA (274 nucleotides) under uncultured bacterium. RNAcentral describes it as "partial 16S ribosomal RNA". It matches the Rfam family "Bacterial small subunit ribosomal RNA", at positions 523 to 796 of the family's 1533-position model. The record is from RNAcentral.
AUACGGAGGGUGCAAGCGUUAAUCGGAAUUACUGGGCGUAAAGGGCGCGUAGGUGGUUUGAUAAGUCAGAUGUGAAAUCCCUGGGCUUAACCUGGGAAUUGCAUUUGAUACUGUCAGACUAGAGUGUGGUAGAGGUAAGCGGAAUUCCCGGUGUAGCGGUGAAAUGCGUAGAUAUCGGGAAGAACAUCAGUGGCGAAGGCGGCUUACUGGAUCAACACUGACACUGAGGCGCGAAAGCGUGGGUAGCAAACAGGAUUAGAAACCCCGGUAGUCC